Molecule: unclassified non-coding RNA, 2088 nt
Filed under: Hevea brasiliensis (rubber tree)
Lineage: Eukaryota; Viridiplantae; Streptophyta; Magnoliopsida; Malpighiales; Euphorbiaceae
Source: RNAcentral
UUCAAAGUAAAUAUCAGACUGUAUGUGGACUUCCGAAUCAGCUCAGUGUUCUCUGGAGUCAUAAUUGAUGUAUGUACCCUUCUCAAAUCCUCAGAGGCUUGUGCUAGGCUUCUGGUCAAAGUCUCAAAUUCCUUGAGGAGACUGCUAUCACGAACGUCAUAGAGCAAAGGUUGAACAUCUUUAGCCAUUUCCUUGAUGUGGGAUAUCACUACAUCAGAACCAAAGUUUGCAUGAGUAUAAAUUAAUUUUUAAAGACAGAUGUGGAACAAAUAUGAUUACACAGGCCUGCACAUGAACAGAAAGAGAAUACAUGGGCAAAUUUCAAGAGGUGCAGCAGCUCCUUCAAAUUCAAAUUAUCCCUAUAAUUACUAAAAAUGCCAAAUUAUCAACAAUCAUCACAUUAUACAUAAUAGCAAUAAAACAAUGCUAUAGUUUUGCCCAGAAGAGAAGCAAAUUACAUCAUUCAACUUGGAAGGUUUCUGCUAUAAUAGUGCCCCCACAUGCCAUAAUAACUCAAGGUAAACACUGUUUAAUGUUUGCACCAAAACAGAGAGUACAUUAAUUUAACUUGACAAAAGUUGUAACAUUUUUCCCUGUGCAGUUGAUUAAUCUUAUAAUAAAGCAACAUAAAUCUGACAAGUAGGUUUCUGAAAUCUAAUUCAACAUAUAAUUUCUCAAGGUUUUGCUAUCAUAAUGCUGAAAUCCCCUACUUCAUUCUAUUAAAAUUUUUAGAUACAUAACAUUCAAUUCAGUUUGCAACCUUACAUUCCAAUCAGAUGCCUUAACAAAUUAUUCAAAAGCAUCAGCCCUCAACAACUUAUUUAUGCUUAGGUAAAUUUCACAUGUUGUCCUUGAACAUUGGGUGUUGUAACAAUGUCAUCUCUGCAUUUUAAUAUGUAACACAAAACUCACUGAACAUUGAUUUGAAUAACAAAUGAUUCAAAAGCAUUCCAACCUGAGAUAACACAUCUCUUGGUUACAAAGCUGAUUUGGCAUCACUUUACAGAAAACAAGAAUUGAAAUGACUCAUACACUCUCAAAUAAACAACAAAACUCUCUUCCCCAUCCCUGCCCCUCUCUUCUCCCCCUCUCUGUGACUCUGUCAUUGUCCCUCUUACCCUCUGUGUCUUUGUCUCUCUUGCAACCUCUGUAUCUCUCUCACCAUCAUUGCCUUUCUCUCUCAAAUUACCCAAAAUCAACAAAGAAAAAAAUUAGGUAAUUUCAAAACAAAAAAUCACAAAACAAUAGUAAGACAAUUUUCAACCCAUUAACAAAUUUUCUCACAAAUCACAAAAUAAAUAAAAUUUUCCAACAAAUUUCAGAAUUUCAAUUGAAAUAUCAACAAAAUCAAUACAAAAUCAACUCAUGAACACAAGUUAAUAGUAACAGAAGGGAAACUCCUGCUGUUAGUGUCCAGAAAGUCUAGCAACCUUUGGCGCUGCUGGUCGAUAUUGAAGGCCAACCUACAAUUUCAAUUUCACUCCAACUGCCUUCUCUUAAAACCGACUCAAUUUACUCUAUCAAAAAACUGCUCUGUUGAACAUCACUCUGUGAAGGAAGACUCCAAGUUUCGUCUCUGACAAUCCACAAUUGCGUCUCUCCAGAACUCGACCCAUUCAGGGUUCUCACCCCAUUUGCUAUACCCGUAUCCAAGCUUCUAUGCAAAUCAUUUGUUGAAGACUCAAUUCUUGCUGAUGAAUCUCAUUUCCAAAGCGAAGUUCUCUUCAGUGCAUUUCUCGUCACCCUCAAUGCAUUUUCCUAGUUGGUUGCUCUCAAGCACCACAACUUGGAUAAGAGAGUGAGAUAGUGGCAAUAGAAAGAUCAAGCAAGGCAUAGAGAAGGAGGCAAGCACCAGUCUAGGAAGCCAAGACCAAUGAGAAACCAAUAGAGAGUUGGCACGGGCAGAAAGGCAACUGCAUAGAUCGUGACAGAGAGAAGACAAGGGCACUGAUGCACAAUGGGCUUGGAAUCCACAUGAUAGAGAGUUUCGUGGUAUGGGUGGCUUACAGGGGUGUGGGUUGGGUCGGGUUGUGGUUUAUGCAAUACUUGUAACAGAGGAAUGCCAUGCGAAAAUUGUGAUUUUUUUCU